RNAcentral lists this small RNA (1159 nucleotides) under Drosophila mojavensis. Its description in RNAcentral is "GI25483". The record is from RNAcentral. Lineage: Eukaryota; Metazoa; Arthropoda; Insecta; Diptera; Drosophilidae.
UCCAAGUUUAGUUCAGUUCCAGCCGGCGUACGUAGCGCACGCGUCUUGCGAGAUCGAUCCGACACAACGGGACAUCGAAUAUAAUCGAGUUGGCAGCGAUAAACGAUAAGCGAUAAGCAUAUAGAACGCGCCGCUCUCUCUCUCUCUCUCUGUCUAUCUCUCUCCCCCUGUCUCUCUUACUCGUUCUCUCACGGCCGUACGAUUUCUUUGCGCAUGCGCGCAGCGUUUCGAAGACAAACACACGCAUGCGCUGUCCCCGCCUCAGUCAGCGUCUCCGUCAGCGACUCCGCGCAAAAGUGAAAAUAUUUGGAGAAAUUUCUUGAGCAGAAUUUCAGUUGCCAGUUUUUUGUGUGUCACUGCUUUUAAAAAAGAAAAAAAAAAAGAAAAAUUAAAAUAAAAUAAAAAUAAAAAUAACAACAACAACAAAAUCGAUAACCUAUAACCCGCUCCGUUGCCAAAAUCGAGUUCGAAUCAGAAACACUUUGCCACAAUUAGCCCAAAACGAAAGUGUUCGCAAAUGUCAUUGACCCAGAUCUGAAUCGAAAAUUGGAGCCAACACCAACACCAGCAGCAACACCAACAAGCAACAGCAGCAAGAGCAACCAUCAAAAACUAAGUUUCGACUUGUGCUCGCUUCAGUUUGUUAACUUUUAGUUAACUUUUAGCUCUUUUUCUUUUUAACAACACAAUUUUUUGUCGUCUCUUCCACGCGCAGACAACUAGAGAGCAAAGGACUCUAAGCAUUGACUUUGACAACUUUUCUAGUUUUCCAGCUAAGAGUCGUUAAUAUACAUAUUUAUACAUAUAAAUAUUUGCGAAAAUGGAAAACUGUUUCACGGCGAUAGCAGCAACAAUUUCAGCAAAAUUCUGUGAAACUUAAUUGUAUGUUAACCAAUACAAUAAUUAAAGCUAAAGCACAAUUAGCAGCGUUGUGUUCCAACUAAAUAAAAGAAAACUAAAAUCAACUUCCCCAACAACUUCCAGAACGAAAAAGAAAAGUAACAAGAAAGAAAACAAAAGAAAACCCGAAGCGUAACGUGAACAAUAAAACAUAAUUUUAGCUAAAGAAGAAGAAGAAGAAGCGCACAUUGCAAAUGAUUCAACUGCUUCCUAACUAAGCUCAGUGCGAGGAAUACUUUAAGGGUAAAACAUAUAUAUA